CCUACGGGAGGCAGCAGUGAGGAAUAUUGGUCAAUGGCCGUAAGGCUGAACCAGCCAAGUCGCGUGAAGGAAGAAGGAUCUAUGGUUUGUAAACUUCUUUUAUAGGGGAAUAAAGUUAUCCACGUGUGGCUAUUUGCAUGUACCCUAUGAAUAAGCAUCGGCUAACUCCGUGCCAGCAGCCGCGGUAAUACGGAGGAUGCGAGCGUUAUCCGGAUUUAUUGGGUUUAAAGGGUGCGUAGGUUGUUUUUUAAGUCAGCUGUGAAAGUUUGUGGCUCAACCAUAAAAUUGCCGUUGAAACUGGAAGACUUGAGUGUGUUUGAGGUAGGCGGAAUGCGUGGUGUAGCGGUGAAAUGCAUAGAUAUCACGCAGAACUCCGAUUGCGAAGGCAGCUUACUAAGCCAUGACUGACACUGAAGCACGAAGGCGUGGGGAUCAAACAGGAUUAGAUACCCGUGUAGUC
Molecule: ribosomal RNA, 460 nt
Filed under: uncultured bacterium
Lineage: Bacteria
Description: partial 16S ribosomal RNA
Rfam family: Bacterial small subunit ribosomal RNA
Source: RNAcentral